This 303-nucleotide ribosomal RNA is filed under the name uncultured bacterium. RNAcentral describes it as "partial 16S ribosomal RNA". It matches the Rfam family "Bacterial small subunit ribosomal RNA", at positions 507 to 807 of the family's 1533-position model. The record is from RNAcentral.
AGCAGUCGCCACGGUAAGACAGAGGAUGCAAGCGUUAUUCGGAUUGAUUGGGUGCAAAGGGUGUGCAGACGGCUUAUUAAGUCACUUGUUAUAUUCUUCGGCCUAACUGAAGGUCUGCAAGUGAUACUGAUGAGCUAGAGGGUGGAAGAGAGAAGUGGAAUUCUCGGAGUAGCGGUAAAAUGCGUAGAUCUCGAGAGGAACACCAAUGGCGAAGGCAGCUUCUUGGUCCAUUCCUGACGUUCAUACACGAAAGCGUGGGGAGCAAACAGGAUUAGAGACCCGCGUAGUCCCUGUCUCUUAUAC